This 303-nucleotide ribosomal RNA is filed under the name uncultured bacterium. Its description in RNAcentral is "partial 16S ribosomal RNA". It matches the Rfam family "Bacterial small subunit ribosomal RNA", at positions 507 to 807 of the family's 1533-position model. The record is from RNAcentral.
AGCAGUCGCCGCGGUAAUACAGAGGGUGCAAGCGUUAAUCGGAAUUACUGGGCGUAAAGCGUGCGUAGGCGGCUAAUUGAGUCGGAUGUGAAAUCCCCGAGCUUAACUUGGGAAUUGCAUUCGAUACUGGUUAGCUAGAGUGUGGGAGAGGAUGGUAGAAUUCCAGGUGUAGCGGUGAAAUGCGUAGAGAUCUGGAGGAAUACCGAUGGCGAAGGCAGCCAUCUGGCCUAACACUGACGCUGAGGUACGAAAGCAUGGGGAGCAAACAGGAUUAGAUACCCGGGUAGUCCCUGUCUCUUAUAC